CCUACGGGUGGCAGCAGUAGGGAAUAUUGCUCAAUGGGGGAAACCCUGAAGCAGCAACGUCGCGUGGAGGAUGAAGGUUUUCGGAUUGUAAACUUCCUUUUAUAGAGAAGAUAAUGACGGUACCUAAUGAAUAAGCACUGGCUAACUUCGAGCCAGCAGCCGUGGUAAUAUGGAGGUUGCAAGCGUUACUCGGAUUCACCGGGCGUAAAGAGGGCGUAGGUGGGAUAGCAAGUCAGAUGUGAAAUCCUAUGGCUUAACCAUAGAAUUGCCGUUGAAACUGUUAUUCUUGAGUAUAGGUGAGGUAGGUGGAAUGCUUGGUGUAGGGGUAAAAUGCAUAGAUAUCAAGAAGAAGACUGAUUGCGAAGGCGGCCUACUAGAACAUAACUGACACUGAUGCGCGAAAGCGUGGGGAGCAAACAGGAUUAGAUACCCGAGUAGUC
This 440-nucleotide ribosomal RNA is filed under the name uncultured bacterium. RNAcentral describes it as "partial 16S ribosomal RNA". It matches the Rfam family "Bacterial small subunit ribosomal RNA", at positions 338 to 795 of the family's 1533-position model. The record is from RNAcentral.